CCGGCGACCGGCGCACGGGUGAGUAACACGUAUGCAACCUACCUUUAACAGGGGGAGUAACACUGAGAAAUUGGUACUAAUACCCCAUAAUAUCAUAGAAGGCAUCUUUUAUGGUUGAAAAUUCCGAUGGUUAGAGAUGGGCAUGCGUUGUAUUAGCUAGUUGGUGGGGUAACGGCUCACCAAGGCGACGAUACAUAGGGGGACUGAGAGGUUAACCCCCCACACUGGUACUGAGACACGGACCAG
RNAcentral lists this ribosomal RNA (246 nucleotides) under uncultured bacterium. Its description in RNAcentral is "partial 16S ribosomal RNA". It matches the Rfam family "Bacterial small subunit ribosomal RNA", at positions 88 to 334 of the family's 1533-position model. The record is from RNAcentral.